RNAcentral lists this ribosomal RNA (497 nucleotides) under uncultured bacterium. Its description in RNAcentral is "partial 16S ribosomal RNA". It matches the Rfam family "Bacterial small subunit ribosomal RNA", at positions 28 to 507 of the family's 1533-position model. The record is from RNAcentral.
GAUGAACGCUGGCGGCGUGCCUAAUACAUGCAAGUCGAGCGAACAGACGAGGAGCUUGCUCCUCUGACGUUAGCGGCGGACGGGUGAGUAACACGUGGAUAACCUACCUAUAAGACUGGGAUAACUUCGGGAAACCGGAGCUAAUACCGGAUAAUAUAUUGAACCGCAUGGUUCAAUAGUGAAAGACGGUUUUGCUGUCACUUAUAGAUGGAUCCGCGCCGCAUUAGCUAGUUGGUAAGGUAACGGCUUACCAAGGCAACGAUGCGUAACCGACCUGAGAGGGGGAUCGGCCACACUAGAACUGAGACACGGUCCAGACUCCUACGGGAGGCAACAGUAGGGAAUCUUCCGCAAUGGGCGAAAGCCUGACGGAGCAACGCCGCGUGAGUGAUGAAGGUCUUCGGAUCGUAAAACUCUGUUAUUAGGGAAGAACAAAUGUGUAAGUAACUAUGCACGUCUUGACGGUACCUAAUCAGAAAGCCACGGCUAACUACGUG